CUGGCGGCGUGCUUAACACAUGCAAGUCGAACGGUGACCCAGGGCUUGCCCUGGUGAUCAGUGGCGAACGGGUGAGUAACACGUGGGCAACCUGCCCCUGACUUCGGGAUAACUCCUCGAAAGAGGAGCUAAUACCGGAUACGACCACUUCGGACAUCCGAUGGUGGUGGAAAGUUUUUCGGUCAGGGAUGGGCCCGUGGCCUAUCAGCUAGUUGGUGGGGGUAAUGGCCUACCAAGGCGACGACGGGUAGCCGGCCUGAGAGGGCGACCGGCCACACUGGGACUGAGACACGGCCCAGACUCCUACGGGAGGCAGCAGUGGGGAAUAUUGCGCAAUGGGCGAAAGCCUGACGCAGCGACGCCGCGUGAGGGAUGAAGGCCUUCGGGUUGUAAACCUCUUUCAGCAGGGACGAAGCGAAAGUGACGGUACCUGCAGAAGAAGCACCGGCUAACUACGUG
This 459-nucleotide ribosomal RNA is filed under the name uncultured bacterium. RNAcentral's name for it is "bacterial SSU rRNA". It matches the Rfam family "Bacterial small subunit ribosomal RNA", at positions 36 to 507 of the family's 1533-position model. The record is from RNAcentral.